CCUACGGGGGGCUGCAGUGAGGAAUAUUGCACAAUGGGGGCAACCCUGAUGCAGCAACGCCGCGUGGAGGAUGAAGGCCUUCGGGUCGUAAACUCCUUUUCUGGGGGAAGAGGAAGGACGGUACCCCAGGAAUAAGUCACGGCUAACUACGUGCCAGCAGCCGCGGUAAUACGUAGGUGGCAAGCGUUAUCCGGAAUUACUGGGCGUAAAGCGCGCGCAGGCGGCCGAAUAAGUCUGACGUGAAAGCUCCUGGCUUAACUGGGAGAGGUCGUUGGAAACUGUUUGGCUUGAGGCAGUGAGAGGGGUGCAGAAUUCCCGGUGUAGUGGUGGAAUGCGUAGAUAUCGGGAGGAAUACCAGUGGCGAAAGCGGCACCCUGGCACUGAACUGACGCUCAUGUGCGAAAGCGUGGGUAGCGAACGGGAUUAGAUACCCGUGUAGUC
This 441-nucleotide ribosomal RNA is filed under the name uncultured Caldilinea sp. Its description in RNAcentral is "bacterial SSU rRNA". It matches the Rfam family "Bacterial small subunit ribosomal RNA", at positions 338 to 795 of the family's 1533-position model. Lineage: Bacteria; Bacillati; Chloroflexota; Caldilineae; Caldilineales; Caldilineaceae. The record is from RNAcentral.